This 269-nucleotide long non-coding RNA is filed under the name Capsicum annuum. RNAcentral's name for it is "long non-coding RNA (CANN_LNC005362)". Lineage: Eukaryota; Viridiplantae; Streptophyta; Magnoliopsida; Solanales; Solanaceae. The record is from RNAcentral.
CAUAACAAAAAUGAUAAAAGAAAAAAAGUAGUAGACUAAUUGACGAAGGGGAGAAUGUUGUUAAGAAGGGGGAGAUGUGCAAAUAGUUUUUGGGGCGUGGAGGCGGAGCUGUCAAGGAUGGUGCUGGGUUUAUUUUAUAUUUUGUCACUUUUUUUAAAAAAAAAAUUUAACACAUUUGUGAGCGUGCUUUAUAUUCAAUAAUUUUAAAGAGGGCUACUCGUUUACGGAUGUCAAAGAUGUACUUUUAAAUAAGAAUAAGGGUUAAUAGG